AUACGUAGGGGGCAAGCGUUAUCCGGAUUUACUGGGUGUAAAGGGAGCGUAGACGGCAAAGCAAGUCUGAAGUGAAAGCCCCGGGCUCAACCCGGGAAUUGCUUUGGAAACUGUUUAGCUGGAGUGCAGGAGAGGUAAGCGGAAUUCCUAGUGUAGCGGUGAAAUGCGUAGAUAUUAGGAGGAACACCGGCGGCGAAGGCGGCUUACUGGACUGUAACUGACGUUGAGGCUCGAAAGCGUGGGGAGCAAACAGGAUUAGAUACCCUGGUAGUCCACGCCGUAAACGAUGAUUACUAGGUGUUGGUUGUCAUAGACAAUCGGUGCCGCAGCAAACGCAAUAAGUAAUCCACCUGGGGAGUACGGUCGCAAGAAUGAAACUCAAAGGAAUUGACAGGG
RNAcentral lists this ribosomal RNA (396 nucleotides) under uncultured bacterium. Its description in RNAcentral is "partial 16S ribosomal RNA". It matches the Rfam family "Bacterial small subunit ribosomal RNA", at positions 523 to 918 of the family's 1533-position model. The record is from RNAcentral.